GUCUUAAAGAAUUUAAUUUUAAGUCUAAUCUGCCCAAUGAAUUUUUUUAAUGGCUGCAGGAUUUAACUGUACAAAGGUAGCAUAAUAAUUUGUUUUUUAAUUAAAAACUUGAAUGAAAGAUUGAAUGAAAUAUAAACUGUUUCAAUUAAAUUUAUUAUUAAAUUUUUUAUUUAAGUAAAAAAACUUAAAUAAUUUUUAAAGACGAUAAGACCCUAUAGAAUUUUAUUUAUUUUUAUUUAUAAUUAAAAAAAAUAAAUUUUAUUGGGGCAAUAAAAAAAUUAAAUUAAUUUUUUUUUAAAAAAACAUUUUUUAAUGAAUUUUUUAUCUUAAAAUUUAAAUUUUAAAAAUUAAUUACCUUAGGGAUAACAGCAUAAUUUUUUUUAAAAGACCAUAUUAAUAAAAAAGAUUAU
RNAcentral lists this ribosomal RNA (410 nucleotides) under Chaoilta sp. Its description in RNAcentral is "partial 16S ribosomal RNA". The record is from RNAcentral. Lineage: Eukaryota; Metazoa; Arthropoda; Insecta; Hymenoptera; Braconidae.